AGCGAACGCUGGCGGUAGGCCUAACACAUGCAAGUCGAACGAAACCUUCGUAGGGGGUUGCUCUCACGGGUGGCAAGCGGGGGAACGGGGAUUUAGAUUCCGAAUCACACUUUGUCACGGGGGAUAACGUCGGGGAUGUUCUUCGAAUACAGCAUACGUCCCCCUUGGGGCAGCCGGCGAUUUUUUGGCUUUUCGCUUUCGGAAGUGCCGACCUCGGACUAGCUAGUUGGCGGGGUAAAGGCCCACCAAGGCGACGAUCCGUAGCUGGUCUGAGAGGAUGAUCAGCCACACUGGAACUGAGACACGGUCCAGACUCCUACGGGAGGCAGCAGUGGGGAAUAUUGGACAAUGGGCGCAAGCCUGAUCCAGCCAUACCGCGUGGGUGAAGAAGGCCUUCGGGUUGUAAAGCCCUUUUGUUGGGAAAGAAAAGCAGCAGGUUAAUACCCCGCUGUUCUGACGGUACCCAAAGAAUAAGCACCGGCUAACUUCGUG
RNAcentral lists this ribosomal RNA (492 nucleotides) under uncultured bacterium. RNAcentral's name for it is "partial 16S ribosomal RNA". It matches the Rfam family "Bacterial small subunit ribosomal RNA", at positions 29 to 507 of the family's 1533-position model. The record is from RNAcentral.